GACAGUGGGUGCAAACGUUGCUCGGAAUUACUGGGCGUAAAGCGCGUGUAGGUGGAUUGGUGUGUCAGAUGUGAAAUCCCUGGGCUCAACCCAGGAACUGCACCUGAAACUACCAGUCUUGAGUGGUGGAGAGGGAAGUGGAAUUCCUGGUGUAGAGGUGAAAUUCGUAGAUAUCAGGAGGAACACCAGUGGCGAAGGCGGCUUCCUGGACACCAACUGACGCUGAGACGCGAAAGCCAGGGGAGCAAACGGG
Molecule: ribosomal RNA, 253 nt
Filed under: uncultured bacterium
Lineage: Bacteria
Description: partial 16S ribosomal RNA
Rfam family: Bacterial small subunit ribosomal RNA
Source: RNAcentral